GCAUUGAGAUAGCUUAGUUGGCAGAGCACAAGACUCUUAAUCUCAAGGUGGCGGGUUCAAGCCCCACGUUGGGCA
This is a non-coding RNA of Podarcis lilfordi (Lilford's wall lizard), 75 nucleotides long. NCBI's taxonomy places the organism in Eukaryota, Metazoa, Chordata, Lepidosauria, Squamata, Lacertidae. The record is from the annotation of a GenBank genome assembly.